This 70-nucleotide transfer RNA is filed under the name Loxodonta africana (African savanna elephant). It matches the Rfam family "tRNA". Rfam says of the family: Transfer RNA (tRNA) molecules are approximately 80 nucleotides in length. Their secondary structure includes four short double-helical elements and three loops (D, anti-codon, and T loops). The record is from Rfam by way of RNAcentral. Lineage: Eukaryota; Metazoa; Chordata; Mammalia; Proboscidea; Elephantidae.
GCAUUGGUGGUUUGUGGUAGAAUUGUUACCUUCCAUGCAGAAGACCUGGGUUUGAUUCCUGGCCAAUGCA